RNAcentral lists this ribosomal RNA (253 nucleotides) under uncultured bacterium. RNAcentral's name for it is "partial 16S ribosomal RNA". It matches the Rfam family "Bacterial small subunit ribosomal RNA", at positions 524 to 776 of the family's 1533-position model. The record is from RNAcentral.
UACGAACCGUACAAACGUUAUUCGGAAUCACUGGGCUUAAAGGGUUCGUAGGCGGCCUUGUAAGUGAGGUGUGAAAUCCCUCGGCUCAACCGAGGAACUGCGCUUCAUACUGCAUGGCUUGAGGGAGACAGGGGUAAGCGGAACUGAUGGUGGAGCGGUGAAAUGCGUUGAUAUCAUCAGGAACACCGGUGGCGAAAGCGGCUUACUGGGUCUCUUCUGACGCUGAGGUACGAAAGCUAGGGUAGCGAACGGG